RNAcentral lists this ribosomal RNA (331 nucleotides) under uncultured bacterium. Its description in RNAcentral is "bacterial SSU rRNA". It matches the Rfam family "Bacterial small subunit ribosomal RNA", at positions 568 to 898 of the family's 1533-position model. The record is from RNAcentral.
CGUGCAGGCGGCCUUGUGAGUGGGAUGUGAAAUGCCCUGGCUCAACCAGGGAACCGCAUCUCAGACUGCAAGGCUUGAGUAUAGGAGAGGAUGGGGGAAUUCCCGGUGUAGCGGUGAAAUGCAUUGAUACCGGGAGGAACACCAGUGGCGAAGGCGCCCAUCUGGCCUAAUACUGACUCUCAGGCGCGAAAGCUAGGGGAGCAAACAGGAUUAGAUACCCUGGUAGUCCUAGCCGUAAACGGUGGGCACUAGGUGUAGGAGGCAUCGACCCCUCUGUGCCGCAGCUAACGCAUUAAGUGCCCCGCCUGGGGAGUACGACCGCAAGGUUGAA